Molecule: long non-coding RNA, 975 nt
Organism: Daphnia pulicaria
Lineage: Eukaryota; Metazoa; Arthropoda; Branchiopoda; Diplostraca; Daphniidae
Exons: 3
Source: RefSeq, a predicted model, not a curated record
UUCUUCGCUGUUGGGAUGGGUAUUACAUGACUAACCUUACCUCCAGGGUUAAGCAUUUUGAACAUUUUUUUGUUAAUUGAAGCGUUGUCCGCCGCUAUUCCUUCGAUGGAAUAGCCGACGGACUCGACUUCUUUGAACGUGUGUUCCGAUCAUUGACUCAGUUCUUCUGCUGUUAAGUUGGCUAAGAGAAAGUAGCCAACUAUUAUGCAAAACGAAUGCGACAGUCCAUUGAUGGCAAAUGUCAAUAGUUUGUUUGCUAGUUUACCGACUUCUUUUGGCUGUACCACUCGUCUGGCUUGAUCGCCACCUCAUCCACAACAAUAUCCUUUAAAGCCAAAUCAGUGAGCCUGACGUCCACCGUUGAGGAUCCAGUGUAUCGUCGCAGCGUCUUGUGAGAAAAGGGCGAAGUACCUGCUGCUGUAACCGCAAAAGAUUGUACUUCAGCUCAGUUUUCACAUGGGAUUCAUCAUUAUCAGCGGAUAAGUCGCUUACUGCAUCAGCGGAUAAGUCGCUCGCUUCAUCAGCAGAAAAGUCGGUUGCUUCCAUCGUACUUGGAUCAUAUUCAGAAUCGGAAUCGUCCGACUACGAUUCUGAUUCAGCAUCGCAAUCCCAUGAGGAGCUACUACCCUCCAAAAAGGAUUCGGUAUCGUCGUCGUCAUUGACAGCAGACUUAUUUAUUAGACUUGAUUUAUAGAUAUAUUAUUUUUUUGAUUUAUUAGACUAUAGCUCAUUUUUAAAAUCAACUUAUUAAAUUUAAAAAAAAAAUUGUUGGCCGACGUAAGAAUCGUCAAAGUGUCCCGUCCUCUAAAUUAAGUAGUCCAUGACCAAAGUUGCAAGUCUUCCUGUCAGUGAAUAUCUAUGGUGUCUUUCUCUGUGUGUAUCUGAACUUCAAGCUGACAGGUUACAUAUAAUUUAAGUAAUAAAGACUACUAUUGAAAGAAAACACUCCGCGGUUUAUUCCUUUCAACAGCAUUU